Nicotiana tabacum (common tobacco) is the source of this 613-nucleotide long non-coding RNA. RefSeq lists it as uncharacterized. The record is from RefSeq and is a predicted model, not a curated record. Lineage: Eukaryota; Viridiplantae; Streptophyta; Magnoliopsida; Solanales; Solanaceae.
CCUCCCCAUUUCCCCAUCUCUCUCUCAAUUCUAACCCUAGCCGCCCAACAAUCCUCCACCGGUGGCCGCCACCAUAACUCCUCCAAAUCCACCCAAAUUCACACCCCAUAAUCCUCUCUUCCUCCUCAUCUCAUAUCUCAUUUUAGCUUCUUUGGAAACACCCUAGAACUCCCUAGGUGUUAGAUCCAAAAAGGCCAGAAAUGCCAAUUUUUUUUUUGUUGAUAUCUCCAUUGAUUUUAGCCUGUUUUGAGUUAAAACUAACAUUAGCUAAUGGUUCUUGUCAAGAUCCGUUGAUUAAUGUAAGUUUUAGUUCAUCUCGAAUUGUCGAAAUCCGGCCAAACUUCAUGGAUUCACUUCAAAUCGUCUUUCUUUCUCAUUAGAGGUCUGCCCGAAGGAACAAGAGGUGUACAAUGUAAGAGUAACUUAUUUGUGAAGCUGUGAUAGAUAUAAAUAUUUUACAACUCUAGUUCUUUGAUUAUUUCUUGUAAGAGAAUCAUCAGAUCCUUAUGAAUUUUGUAAAAUUACAAUUGUCUGUAUUUGUUUGUUUGUGUUUUUUUAGUAUCAAUUUGCUUUAAGUAUGUAGAUAUACUGUACACAAAUCCAAAUUUAAGUA